This is a long non-coding RNA of Heterocephalus glaber (naked mole-rat), 292 nucleotides long. RefSeq lists it as uncharacterized. Lineage: Eukaryota; Metazoa; Chordata; Mammalia; Rodentia; Bathyergidae. The record is from RefSeq and is a predicted model, not a curated record.
CCCUUCUCGUGGAUGGAUUGAAGUCUUAUCUUUCUCCUUCCAGUGUUCAGUUUUCAGCACUUUCAGAGAGGCAUCUUGUUGACCAUGAGGAUUCACCCCAGUGUGGACCCUGCUUUCUGUGUAGGUGCACCAACGCCCUCUGCUGGCCAGACUGCAGCAGAUAUUAACUGAAAGAUUUGAGACUCCUCAUGAUUACCCUCACUUCUGACACCAACACAAGUUCAAGGAGUCGCUCAGUAUUCAGAAAAAUCAUUAUAUUCCAUGAUGGAUUAUUUCAGGAAAAGAAACAGAA